Molecule: non-coding RNA, 662 nt
Organism: Pelobates cultripes (western spadefoot toad)
Lineage: Eukaryota; Metazoa; Chordata; Amphibia; Anura; Pelobatidae
Source: the annotation of a GenBank genome assembly
AAAAUGGUGGUGACAAAUACUCCUGAGCUGCAGAGCCUACCUCUAGACUGCUCAGACCAACAGGACUAUGCCACUAAUAUCCUUUCACAUCUGGAAGCAGCAUUUGAGCACUUCUGGGCACAACUAGCAGAGAGGUUGGCAGCAUCGCAUUUCCCAUGAUCUGAUAGCGAUCAUAGAUUCUGGAGACAAGAGUCAGGGGGAACCCCUCAUGGCAAACCAACCUCACAAGCUCGAGUCUCACUACUCACCCGCUCUCCAUAGCUGAGGGCCUGUCGGGGCUUGCAACCACCGCACCGCCACUUAAGCGGAGAACCACUAAUUGGUAUCUGAGCCUAAACAUCCGGGCUUUCUGUAUUCUCCCCCAUGGGUGGAACUUGAACUCGAUGAGCUCUUGGGUCAGUGGCAUUGGAGUGUUGGCUUUCCGACCUGCCUGGGGCUGAAGGAAAAUUGCCCUCUAGCUCUGCCUGGCUGGUCGUCCCAGCGGACUUUUCAGUACCAUUCUGAGUCUACCAACUGUGGGAGUCGGCUGAGCACCUGUAAACCAGCAUAUGUUGACCUAUCAGCCAAACAUUAGGGCCUAGCAAUUUCGGUAACCACCAUUUUGUUUUUCUUGUUUUAAAAUGUUUUAAUCUCCAUCUUCCUCUGAAUGCAAUGGUCUCAGG